AAGAAGAAAAAUUAAAAAGAGAAUAAGGAGAAGAAGGAGAUGUGAGAGACGUGAUGGUGGCAUGGUGGUGGAGGAAGAGAAAGAGAAUAGGCAAAGCAUAGAAGGAAAAGUGAGAGAAGGAGGAGGAAUAAGAGAAGCAAGAGGAGGAAAAGAAGGAGAUGACAGUGGUGACAAAUGAAAACAACAGAGACAUUAACAACGUUGACAGUGAAGGAAUAAGAGGAAUGUGGGAGGUAGAAGAAAAUUGGAAAGUUAAAAGGAAGAAGAAGAAGGAGGGAGGAGGAAGAAUGUGGACUAUAUCUUAAUUCUAAUAGUGAAUUUUAUUCAUGAAUUUCCUAAUGUGUUUAUAAAAUAUACUGAUGAAAAUUUUACUAAUAGUUUUUUUAUCAUUGAUAAUUUUAAUUUACCAACAAAUUUUAAGUAUUAUCGAAAAAUUUUAG
This 440-nucleotide long non-coding RNA is filed under the name Vigna radiata. RNAcentral describes it as "long non-coding RNA (VRAD_LNC011688)". The record is from RNAcentral. Lineage: Eukaryota; Viridiplantae; Streptophyta; Magnoliopsida; Fabales; Fabaceae.